Molecule: ribosomal RNA, 1480 nt
Filed under: Salmonella enterica subsp. enterica serovar Enteritidis
Lineage: Bacteria; Pseudomonadati; Pseudomonadota; Gammaproteobacteria; Enterobacterales; Enterobacteriaceae
Description: 16S ribosomal RNA
Rfam family: Bacterial small subunit ribosomal RNA
Source: RNAcentral
GGCGGCAGGCCUAACACAUGCAAGUCGAACGGUAACAGGAAGCAGCUUGCUGCUUCGCUGACGAGUGGCGGACGGGUGAGUAAUGUCUGGGAAACUGCCUGAUGGAGGGGGAUAACUACUGGAAACGGUGGCUAAUACCGCAUAACGUCGCAAGACCAAAGAGGGGGACCUUCGGGCCUCUUGCCAUCAGAUGUGCCCAGAUGGGAUUAGCUUGUUGGUGAGGUAACGGCUCACCAAGGCGACGAUCCCUAGCUGGUCUGAGAGGAUGACCAGCCCCACUGGAACUGAGACACGGUCCAGACUCCUACGGGAGGCAGCAGUGGGGAAUAUUGCACAAUGGGCGCAAGCCUGAUGCAGCCAUGCCGCGUGUAUGAAGAAGGCCUUCGGGUUGUAAAGUACUUUCAGCGGGGAGGAAGGUGUUGUGGUUAAUAACCGCAGCAAUUGACGUUACCCGCAGAAGAAGCACCGGCUAACUCCGUGCCAGCAGCCGCGGUAAUACGGAGGGUGCAAGCGUUAAUCGGAAUUACUGGGCGUAAAGCGCACGCAGGCGGUCUGUCAAGUCGGAUGUGAAAUCCCCGGGCUCAACCUGGGAACUGCAUUCGAAACUGGCAGGCUUGAGUCUUGUAGAGGGGGGUAGAAUUCCAGGUGUAGCGGUGAAAUGCGUAGAGAUCUGGAGGAAUACCGGUGGCGAAGGCGGCCCCCUGGACAAAGACUGACGCUCAGGUGCGAAAGCGUGGGGAGCAAACAGGAUUAGAUACCCUGGUAGUCCCCGCCGUAAACGAUGUCUACUUGGAGGUUGUGCCCUUGAGGCGUGGCUUCCGGAGCUAACGCGUUAAGUAGACCGCCUGGGGAGUACGGCCGCAAGGUUAAAACUCAAAUGAAUUGACGGGGGCCCGCACAAGCGGUGGAGCAUGUGGUUUAAUUCGAUGCAACGCGAAGAACCUUACCUGGUCUUGACAUCCCCAGAAGUUUCCAGAGAUGGAUUGGUGCCUUCGGGAACUGUGAGACAGGUGCUGCAUGGCUGUCGUCAGCUCGUGUUGUGAAAUGUUGGGUUAAGUCCCGCAACGAGCGCAACCCUUAUCCUUUGUUGCCAGCGGUUAGGCCGGGAACUCAAAGGAGACUGCCAGUGAUAAACUGGAGGAAGGUGGGGAUGACGUCAAGUCAUCAUGGCCCUUACGACCAGGGCUACACACGUGCUACAAUGGCGCAUACAAAGAGAAGCGACCUCGCGAGAGCAAGCGGACCUCAUAAAGUGCGUCGUAGUCCGGAUUGGAGUCUGCAACUCGACUCCAUGAAGUCGGAAUCGCUAGUAAUCGUGGAUCAGAAUGCCCCGGUGAAUACGUUCCCGGGCCUUGUACACACCGCCCGUCACACCAUGGGAGUGGGUUGCAAAAGAAGUAGGUAGCUUAACCUUCGGGAGGGCGCUUACCCCUUUGUGAUUCAUGACUGGGGUGAAGUCGUAACAAGGUAACCGUAGGGG